GACGAACGCUGGCGGCGCGCUUAACACAUGCAAGUCGAACGGAAAGGCCUGCUUUCCCUUGUGGAUUGCGGGUACUCGAGUGGCGAACGGGUGAGUAACACGUAAGUGAUCUGCCCCCAACUUGGGUAUAAGCCUGGGAAACUGGGUCUAAUUCCCGAUAGGACUGCAGGGUGGUGCCUGUGGUGGAAAACGAUUUUCUAGUGGUUGGGGAUGAGCUCGCGGCCUAUCAGCUUGUUGGUGGGGUAAUGGCCUACCAAGGCGGCGACGGGUAGCCGGCCUGAGAGGGUGGACGGCCACAUUGGGAAUGAGAUACGGCCCAGACUCCUACGGGAGGCAGCAGUGGGGAAUAUUGCACAAUGGGCGGAAGCCUGAUGCAGCGACGCCGCGUGGGGGAUGACGGCCUUCGGGUUGUAAACUCCUUUCGACCGCGAGGAAGCCACCUGGUUGGAAGGGUGGUGACGGUAGUGGUAGAAGAAGCACCGGCUAACUACGUG
Molecule: ribosomal RNA, 494 nt
Filed under: uncultured bacterium
Lineage: Bacteria
Description: partial 16S ribosomal RNA
Rfam family: Bacterial small subunit ribosomal RNA
Source: RNAcentral